GAUGAACGCUGGCGGCGUGCCUAAUACAUGCAAGUCGAGCGAACAGAUGAGGAGCUUGCUCCUCUGACGUUAGCGGCGGACGGGUGAGUAACACGUGGAUAACCUACCUAUAAGACUGGGAUAACUUCGGGAAACCGGAGCUAAUACCGGAUAAUAUAUUGAACCGCAUGGUUCAAUAGUGAAAGACGGUUUUGCUGUCACUUAUAGAUGGAUCCGCGCCGCAUUAGCUGGUUGGUAAGGUAACGGCUUACCAAGGCAACGAUGCGUAGCCGACCUGAGAGGGUGAUCGGCCACACUGGAACUGAGACACGGUCCAGACUCCUACGGGAGGCAGCAGUAGGGAAUCUUCCGCAAUGGGCGAAAGCUUGACGGAGCAACGCCGCGUGAGUGAUGAAGGUCUUCGGAUCGUAAAACUCUGUUAUUAGGGAAGAACAAAUGUGUAAGUAACUAUGCACGUCUUGACGGUACCUAAUCAGAAAGCCACGGCUAACUACGUG
This 497-nucleotide ribosomal RNA is filed under the name uncultured bacterium. RNAcentral's name for it is "partial 16S ribosomal RNA". It matches the Rfam family "Bacterial small subunit ribosomal RNA", at positions 28 to 507 of the family's 1533-position model. The record is from RNAcentral.